Molecule: ribosomal RNA, 700 nt
Filed under: Harbansus paucichelatus
Lineage: Eukaryota; Metazoa; Arthropoda; Ostracoda; Myodocopida; Philomedidae
Description: eukaryotic LSU rRNA
Rfam family: Eukaryotic large subunit ribosomal RNA
Source: RNAcentral
CUUGAUGGAGGAUCUGUGGAAACUAAUUUUGUCCACGGCGCACUCCGGGGGCGUUUUUCUUUGCGUCGUUACCUCUGCGUCUCUCCUUGCCUGCGCUUAGUUCGGUAGUUUUGUAGGGGUAACCUUGCAUUCUGCUCGUUCUGCGGCGUGGUGUUCUUGGUGGGGCAUCAAGUGCCAACCUAUUGGAAAGGCGCACCAAGAGCGUACGCGUUGGGACCCCAAAGAUGGUGAACUAUGCCUGGCCAGGAUGAAGCCAGAGGAAACUCUGGUGGAGGUCCGUAGCGAUUCUGACGUGCAAAUCGAUCGUCUGAGCUGGGUAUAGGGGCGAAAGACUAAUCGAACCAUCUAGUAGCUGGUUCCCUCCGAAGUUUCCCUCAGGAUAGCUGGAGCUCUAAUAAUUGUCUCAUCCGGUAAAGCGAAUGAUUAGAGGCCUUGGGGUUGAAAUGACCUCAACCUAUUCUCAAACUUUAAAUGGGUGGGAAACCUGGCUUGCUUGACUGAAGCACAUGUCUCGGAAUUAAGUGAUGCCCAGUGGGCCACUCUUGGUAAGCAGGACUGGCGAUGUGGGAUGAACCAAACGUUGGGUUACGGCGCCAAAGUUGAUGCCAAUUCAGAAACCAGGAAAGGCGUUGGUUGCUCCAGACAGCAGGACGGUGGCCAUGGAAGUCGGCAUCCGACUAAGGAGUGUGUAACAACUCAC